Non-coding RNA from Chrysemys picta bellii (western painted turtle), 2798 nucleotides. The record is from RefSeq and is a predicted model, not a curated record. NCBI's taxonomy places the organism in Eukaryota, Metazoa, Chordata, Testudines, Emydidae.
AGCUUAUGAAGAGCCCAUAGUUCAUGCUCAUCAAGUGAAAAAUGACAUGCCUGAUCUUGCAGUGUGGGCAGAGAGUUGCUCUGAAACCUGCCAACACACACCAGCAAAAACAGCCCACUGACUCAACCGCCCGCUUUCGCCAACCUGCCGGUUACUUCACUGCAGGACGUGUAUUUGAGCCAAAUCAAGCAAAACACCUUGACGUUUGUGAGUUUGCAGGAUUUGGAAAUAUAUCACCGCUUGAAGACAACCUUCCAGCACAGAGAGAGUAUCGGGCUGACUGGGGAGCCGUUCAAGAAUUGCGGAACAAGGACGUUUUCCAGUUCUGGAGAAGCACGGUGGCCAGAUUCCCAGCUCUGGCAGUAGUCGCCCUGCGAUGCUUAGCAGUACCAGUCUACAGCGUGGGUGAUGAACCCUCCUUCUCAUCUUAUAAAAAUGUGCUUGGGGACAACAGACGCCGCAUAAACAACAAGCUGUCUAGAGGUGCAAGCUGCAAUUUCCAGCUGCUGUAAUCAAUCACAACGGCCAGAGCACAGCACAGUCUGUACGUGCUGGCUGCCUUCCUUCCCUCCUCAUUCAUGCAGUGCCAUUGCUCUCCAAAGCUGCGUCUGCAUUAAGGGGGCACCGCCGGGAGCAGCAGAGAGAUUGAAACAGCGUUGCUGCGGCCCAGGUGCAGCAGGAUUACAGCACGGUCAUUUAAAGCUCUGCUUGCAAUGGCGCGAAAGGGGGUGGAUGAAGAUGAUACUCCAGGGGCAAGGGCAGGGACGGAUUAAGACUUAAAGGUGCUCAGAUCCAUCCUACACACAGGGCACAAGCGGGGUAGGGCUGUCAGGCAAAUCACAUUUUGGGGGGGCGGGAGCUUGAGGCACAGUAUCUCAGACACCGCACCUAGUCUCAAGUCAGUUUACGGGGGCUGUGGAGACAUCUGCUGUGUACAAAGGGUGUGAUUUAAAUAAGCCUGUUGCUUUCUCCUCUACUGGUGCACCGAUUUAUCUAUCAUUUUCAUAGGUUUGAAAACAGGGCGUCUUACGUAGCUGGUUAUGCAGAGUUAGCAUGCUUAGACAAACAGUUUUGGUAGGUCCUACAAAAGUCUCUGAACUUCUUCCUCUAAGCAGUACAGUGCUACCCCUUUGUAAAAUAGCUCAUUAGAAUCCAAAGCCUCCCAUUCGAUAUUCCUCCAGCACACAUCUAGGGAUAAACUAUUUGAAUGGUGUCCCUUUAACUCAAGAGGCCGACACUAUAAUCAAGGUGUGUGUUUUGUGAGACAAGACCUCAGAACCUAUUACUCAUUUCUACCAAGUUUUAAAGAAAACUGAGCUUACUUUCUAUAACUCAAAAUGUCAAGUAAAAAAAGGUACUUACAAUAGGGUGUUUUCAGGAUGUCCCCCCUGCAAAAGCAUGCGUUCAAAGAGGUAGUGAGUAGGAUGCCUACUGCACACUGUCCAUAUAAACCCUAUUGUACACUGCUGUCUUACAUUCGUGCUUCCCCUGGCUUGCCACCUGGUAAAUGCACAAACAAUGACAAUACAAGUUUGUAUCCCAAAUGGCUUGAAAGAAUCUGAAGCCACUGAACAAGGAGAUCAAGCUAGGAAAGCAAACAGCUAGCCCUUGCAUCUGUUGUGGGUUAAUAAAAUCUAAAAUGAUGAACGAAACAACAGUCAGCCUUAAAAGAAAAUAUUUUAUGAGCGCAAUAAGACAUGUUUUGAACAGUGCUGGAGGCAACUAUCAAACAAAACUCUUAACAUUAAAAAGCAGAUCAAUUUCUGGGAAGCACUUAGGAAUGCUGUCAGCGUAUUGAGUCUUCGAGGCUUCACUUAAUCCUUCAUAGAAAUAUAUUUCUUAUAUCACUUACAAAAAACUCCACUAUGCCUUGGGUAAAAUGCUAGAUUUGGUUUAUACUGAAUACUUUGGUAAAAACAAAUCAUAAAGAGGUCCUUCAUUCAUUUUGGUGCCUAUUAGGUCCAUCACUGGCUAUUAACCAGGAUGGGCAGGGAGGGUGUCCCUAGCCUUUGUUUGCCAGAAGCUGGGAAUAAGCAACAGGGAACGGAUCACUUGAUGAUUCCCUGUUCUGUUCAUUCCCUCUGGGGCACCCGGCACUGGCCACUGUCGGAAGACAGGAUACUGGGCUAGAUGGACCUUUGGUCUGACCCAGUAUGGCCGUUCUUAUGUACAACAUUAAUUAUUUAGAGUCUCUCAUUAAAUCAGGAUUGCAGAUUAUGUUCCCUUUUCUAUUGAAGGAGAAUUUUUUCUAUUCCAUUUCAGUAUUUGUGUUCUCCUUCUUCAGAUAAGUGAAUUCUCUUCACUCGGUCUCCAGUAGAAAGAAGGUGUGCAUUUCAACCUGCUAACCAGUUUCAGGAUAGAGACCUGACUGGUGAGAGAAAUGGAUAUAUUUAUGGAUCUAUGAUCUAAACUGCAAACCAUUUUCAAAAUGUACAGAAAGGUUGUGCUAUUUCUCAGUAAGGCCUGAAGUAGGAAACUUACAUCGGCACAAAAUAACUCACAAGCAAAAAAACGUUCACUUUAAAACAAACCAACCCAGAUACUUAAAGUUCUCUAGAACAACAGAACACAUUGUAACAAACUAAUCCGAAGAAAGCGCCAAGCUAUGGCUUUUCAGUUUUGGUUUAAUGUACAGAAUGGAGUAUAACACCAUUUUCCAGCAUUUCGGAAUUUCAUAUUUUACUUGAUCUUUAGCUUUUCUAGAUUCUAGAAAGCCUUUUCUUAGAUGCUUAGUUCUAUGAAACUACAUGCGAAUGUGUCUCUAACUAUUAAAGACUGGCCCAGAUUUUCAAAUGUGA